This 741-nucleotide ribosomal RNA is filed under the name Escherichia coli. RNAcentral describes it as "bacterial SSU rRNA". It matches the Rfam family "Bacterial small subunit ribosomal RNA", at positions 22 to 752 of the family's 1533-position model. Lineage: Bacteria; Pseudomonadati; Pseudomonadota; Gammaproteobacteria; Enterobacterales; Enterobacteriaceae. The record is from RNAcentral.
GCUCAGAUUGAACGCUGGCGGCAGGCCUAACACAUGCAAGUCGAACGGUAACAGGAAUCAGCUUGCUGAUUUGCUGACGAGUGGCGGACGGGUGAGUAAUGUCUGGGAAACUGCCUGAUGGAGGGGGAUAACUACUGGAAACGGUAGCUAAUACCGCAUAACGUCGCAAGACCAAAGAGGGGGACCUUCGGGCCUCUUGCCAUCGGAUGUGCCCAGAUGGGAUUAGCUAGUAGGUGGGGUAACGGCUCACCUAGGCGACGAUCCCUAGCUGGUCUGAGAGGAUGACCAGCCACACUGGAACUGAGACACGGUCCAGACUCCUACGGGAGGCAGCAGUGGGGAAUAUUGCACAAUGGGCGCAAGCCUGAUGCAGCCAUGCCGCGUGUAUGAAGAAGGCCUUCGGGUUGUAAAGUACUUUCAGCGGGGAGGAAGGGAGUAAAGUUAAUACCUUUGCUCAUUGACGUUACCCGCAGAAGAAGCACCGGCUAACUCCGUGCCAGCAGCCGCGGUAAUACGGAGGGUGCAAGCGUUAAUCGGAAUUACUGGGCGUAAAGCGCACGCAGGCGGUUUGUUAAGUCAGAUGUGAAAUCCCCGGGCUCAACCUGGGAACUGCAUCUGAUACUGGCAAGCUUGAGUCUCGUAGAGGGGGGUAGAAUUCCAGGUGUAGCGGUGAAAUGCGUAGAGAUCUGGAGGAAUACCGGUGGCGAAGGCGGCCCCCUGGACGAAGACUGACGCUCAGGU